RNAcentral lists this ribosomal RNA (465 nucleotides) under Vreelandella stevensii. Its description in RNAcentral is "partial 16S ribosomal RNA". It matches the Rfam family "Bacterial small subunit ribosomal RNA", at positions 338 to 795 of the family's 1533-position model. The record is from RNAcentral. Lineage: Bacteria; Pseudomonadati; Pseudomonadota; Gammaproteobacteria; Oceanospirillales; Halomonadaceae.
CCUACGGGAGGCUGCAGUGGGGAAUAUUGGACAAUGGGGGCAACCCUGAUCCAGCCAUGCCGCGUGUGUGAAGAAGGCCCUCGGGUUGUAAAGCACUUUCAGUGAGGAAGAACGCCUGGUGGUUAAUACCCAUCAGGAAAGACAUCACUCACAGAAGAAGCACCGGCUAACUCCGUGCCAGCAGCCGCGGUAAUACGGAGGGUGCGAGCGUUAAUCGGAAUUACUGGGCGUAAAGCGCGCGUAGGUGGAUUGAUAAGCCGGUUGUGAAAGCCCCGGGCUCAACCUGGGAACGGCAUCCGGAACUGUCAAGCUAGAGUGCAGGAGAGGAAGGUAGAAUUCCCGGUGUAGCGGUGAAAUGCGUAGAGAUCGGGAGGAAUACCAGUGGCGAAGGCGGCCUUCUGGACUGACACUGACACUGAGGUGCGAAAGCGUGGGUAGCAAACAGGAUUAGAUACCCUGGUAGUC